This 376-nucleotide ribosomal RNA is filed under the name uncultured bacterium. RNAcentral's name for it is "bacterial SSU rRNA". It matches the Rfam family "Bacterial small subunit ribosomal RNA", at positions 524 to 898 of the family's 1533-position model. The record is from RNAcentral.
UACAGAGGGGGCGAGCGUUAUUCGGAAUUAUUGGGCGUAAAGGGCGCGUAGGCGGCUUGGCAAGUCAAAGGUGAAAUCCCUCGGCUCAACCGAGGAACUGCCUUUGAAACUGCCGGGCUCGAGGCCGGGAGAGGGUAGUGGAAUUCCCAGUGUAGCGGUGAAAUGCGUAGAUAUUGGGAGGAACACCGGUGGCGAAGGCGGCUACCUGGACCGGUUCUGACGCUGAGGCGCGAAAGCGUGGGGAGCAAACAGGAUUAGAUACCCUGGUAGUCCACGCUGUAAACGAUGGGUACUCGGUGUCGCGGGUAUCGACCCCUGCGGUGCCUUAGCUAACGCGUUAAGUACCCCGCCUGGGGAGUACGGUCGCAAGGCUGAA